This 469-nucleotide ribosomal RNA is filed under the name uncultured Pseudomonadota bacterium. RNAcentral describes it as "bacterial SSU rRNA". It matches the Rfam family "Bacterial small subunit ribosomal RNA", at positions 355 to 816 of the family's 1533-position model. Lineage: Bacteria; Pseudomonadati; Pseudomonadota. The record is from RNAcentral.
UGGGGAAUCUUGCGCAAUGGGCGAAAGCCUGACGCAGCAACGCCGCGUGAGUGAUGAAGGUCUUCGGAUCGUAAAGCUCUGUCGGCAGGAACGAUGGAGAGCGUGGCUAACAUCCACGAGCUCUGACGGUACCUGCAAAGGAAGCACCGGCUAACUCUGUGCCAGCAGCCGCGGUAAGACAGAGGGUGCAAGCGUUGUUCGGAAUUAUUGGGCGUAAAGGGCGCGUAGGCGGCGACUAAAGUCAGAUGUGAAAUCCCUGGGCUCAACCCAGGAAGUGCAUCUGAUACUGAGUUGCUUGAAUCCCGGAGAGGGUGGUGGAAUUCCUGGUGUAGAGGUGAAAUUCGUAGAUAUCAGGAGGAACACCGGUGGCGAAGGCGACCACCUGGACGGAGAUUGACGCUGAGGCGCGAAAGCGUGGGAGCAAACAGGAUUAGAUACCCUGGUAGUCCACGCUGUAAACUAUGGGUGC